Molecule: ribosomal RNA, 459 nt
Filed under: uncultured bacterium
Lineage: Bacteria
Description: partial 16S ribosomal RNA
Rfam family: Bacterial small subunit ribosomal RNA
Source: RNAcentral
CCUACGGGAGGCAGCAGUGAGGAAUAUUGGUCAAUGGCCGGAAGGCUGAACCAGCCAAGCCGCGUGAAGGACGAAGGUGCCAAGCAUUGUAAACUUCUUUUGUCAAGGGACAAAAACAGGCUCGAGAGCCUGACCGAGGGUACUUGAAGAAAAGGCAUCGGCUAACUCCGUGCCAGCAGCCGCGGUAAUACGGAGGAUGCGAGCGUUAUCCGGAUUUAUUGGGUUUAAAGGGUGCGUAGGCGGGCUGUUAAGUCAGCGGUAAAAGCCCGGGGCUCAACCCCGGCCAGCCGUUGAAACUGGCUGUCUUGAGUUGGAGAGAGGUAUGCGGAAUGCGCAGUGUAGCGGUGAAAUGCUUAGAUAUUGCGCAGAACUCCGAUUGCGAAGGCAGCAUGCCGGCGGCAAUCUGACGCUGAGGCACGAAAGCGUGGGUAUCGAACAGGAUUAGAUACCCGAGUAGUC